RNAcentral lists this non-coding RNA (147 nucleotides) under Pan troglodytes (chimpanzee). Lineage: Eukaryota; Metazoa; Chordata; Mammalia; Primates; Hominidae. The record is from Rfam by way of RNAcentral.
GCCGGGCAUAGUGGUGCGCGCCUGUAAUCCCAGCUACUCAGGAGGCUGAGGCAGGAGAAUCGCUUGAACCCGGGAGGCAGGGGUUGCAGUGAGCUGGAUUGAGCCACUGCACUCCAGCCUGGGCAACAGAGUGAGAGUUUGUCUCAA